Molecule: long non-coding RNA, 240 nt
Filed under: Solanum tuberosum (potato)
Lineage: Eukaryota; Viridiplantae; Streptophyta; Magnoliopsida; Solanales; Solanaceae
Description: long non-coding RNA (STUB_LNC009457)
Source: RNAcentral
GUAUAUAUCAUUUUGCAGGUAUUUUCAUAAUGACUCAAGUUCUCUCAACAAAUGCUCAAACUGUAUGCCCAUAUGAAGUUAUUGAUUUUGCUUGUUCAGAUGCAGAAUUACCACAUUGUCAAUCACUUUGCCAUAUUGUAUUUGGAGAUAAUUUUGUUACUUCACAGUGUGUAGAGAAACAGAAAGGACAAGUUUUUUGUACUUGCUUCUACAAAUAUGACAAGCCAACAUGUCCACCAC